RNAcentral lists this non-coding RNA (56 nucleotides) under Aeromicrobium massiliense. Its description in RNAcentral is "Actino-pnp RNA". It matches the Rfam family "Actino-pnp RNA". Lineage: Bacteria; Bacillati; Actinomycetota; Actinomycetes; Propionibacteriales; Nocardioidaceae. The record is from RNAcentral.
CGGUCCUCGGUAGUGGCUCUCGGGACGCCGUCCCGCGGGCCUCGAUCGAAGAUCGG